This 75-nucleotide transfer RNA is filed under the name Pontiella desulfatans. RNAcentral describes it as "tRNA-Gly(ccc)". It matches the Rfam family "tRNA". From Rfam's summary of the family: Transfer RNA (tRNA) molecules are approximately 80 nucleotides in length. Their secondary structure includes four short double-helical elements and three loops (D, anti-codon, and T loops). Further hydrogen bonds mediate the characteristic L-shaped molecular structure. tRNAs have two regions of fundamental functional importance: the anti-codon, which is responsible for specific mRNA codon recognition, and the 3' end, to which the tRNAs corresponding amino acid is attached (by aminoacyl-tRNA synthetases). tRNAs cope with the degeneracy of the genetic code in two manners: having more than one tRNA (with a specific anti-codon) for a particular amino acid; and 'wobble' base-pairing, i.e. permitting non-standard base-pairing at the 3rd anti-codon position. Lineage: Bacteria; Pseudomonadati; Kiritimatiellota; Kiritimatiellia; Kiritimatiellales; Pontiellaceae. RNAcentral also lists the same sequence under 3 other names. The record is from RNAcentral.
GCGGGAGUAAUUCAGUGGUAGAAUGAUUGCUUCCCAAGCAAUUCGUCGCCGGUUCGAGUCCGGUCUCCCGCUCCA